AGCCUUCCGUAUCCGUGUUGAAAUUUCGUCACACACCAUACCACAAGGGCUGAUGAGACUUCCAAGAUAAGUGGAGCG
Molecule: microRNA precursor, 78 nt
Filed under: Schistosoma mattheei
Lineage: Eukaryota; Metazoa; Platyhelminthes; Trematoda; Strigeidida; Schistosomatidae
Description: mir-3492 microRNA precursor family
Rfam family: mir-3492 microRNA precursor family
Source: Rfam by way of RNAcentral